Molecule: ribosomal RNA, 429 nt
Filed under: Verrucomicrobiota bacterium
Lineage: Bacteria; Pseudomonadati; Verrucomicrobiota
Description: Verrucomicrobia bacterium partial 16S ribosomal RNA
Rfam family: Bacterial small subunit ribosomal RNA
Source: RNAcentral
UAGGGAAUCUUCGGCAAUGGGGGGAACCCUGACCGAGCAACGCCGCGUGAGUGAAGAAGGUUUUCGGAUCGUAAAGCUCUGUUGUUAAGGAAGAACGAGUGUGAGAAUGGAAAGUUCAUGCUGUGACGGUACUUAACCAGAAAGGGACGGCUAACUACGUGCCAGCAGCCGCGGUAAUACGUAGGUCCCGAGCGUUGUCCGGAUUUAUUGGGCGUAAAGCGAGCGCAGGCGGUUAGAAAAGUCUGAAGUGAAAGGCAGUGGCUCAACCAUUGUAGGCUUUGGAAACUGUUUAACUUGAGUGCAGAAGGGGAGAGUGGAAUUCCAUGUGUAGCGGUGAAAUACGUAGAUAUAUGGAGAAACACCGGUGGCGAAAGCGGCUCUCUGGUCUGUAACUGACGCUGAGGCUCGAAAGCGUGGGGAGCGAACAGG